This 500-nucleotide ribosomal RNA is filed under the name uncultured bacterium. Its description in RNAcentral is "partial 16S ribosomal RNA". It matches the Rfam family "Bacterial small subunit ribosomal RNA", at positions 30 to 523 of the family's 1533-position model. The record is from RNAcentral.
AUUGAACGCUGGCGGCAUGCCUUACACAUGCAAGUCGAACGGCAGCGGGGACUUCGGUCCGCCGGCGAGUGGCGAACGGGUGAGUAAAGUAUCGGAACGUACCUUUCAGUGGGGGAUAACGUAGCGAAAGUUACGCUAAUACCGCAUAUUCUGUGAGCAGGAAAGCAGGGGAUCGCAAGACCUUGCGCUGAUUGAGCGGCCGAUAUCAGAUUAGCUAGUUGGUGAGGUAAAGGCUCACCAGGGCGACGCUCUGUAGCGGGUCUGAGAGGAUGAUCCGCCACACUGGAACUGAGACACGGUCCAGACUCCUACGGGAGGCAGCAGUGGGGAAUUUUGGACAAUGGGGGCAACCCUGAUCCAGCCAUGCCGCGUGAGUGAAGAAGGCCUUCGGGUUGUAAAGCUCUUUCGGCCGGGAGGAAAUCGCACAGGCUAAUACCCUGUGUGGAUGACAGUACCGGAAUAAGAAGCACCGGCUAACUACGUGCCAGCCGCCGCCGUAA